This 231-nucleotide unclassified non-coding RNA is filed under the name Hevea brasiliensis (rubber tree). The record is from RNAcentral. Lineage: Eukaryota; Viridiplantae; Streptophyta; Magnoliopsida; Malpighiales; Euphorbiaceae.
AAAAAAGGCGUAGCUUUCAGUCAAGAAGUUGCAUGUUUCAUGGAGCUUGAAAGAGUUUGCUCAACCUGUGUUCCUCAUCCCAGCAGCAAUCCCAUUUAUGGUAAUGAGCAGGGCAUCUCUGAGCUUAUUGUUGUCAUCAUCGCUUCUAAGCCUCUUUAGAACCUCCACCUGCAACAUGUUCAUGGGAUUGAGAUAAGGAAGCCUGCUCUCUAUAAGCCUCCUCAGGCUCCG